CCCUUAGAUGUUCUGGGCCGCACGCGUGCUACACUGAGUGGAUCAACGGGUCAGGUUACGCGAGAGCGUUUCCUAAUCUUCAAAUCCGCUCGUGAUGGGGAUUGACGGUUGCAAUUUUCCGUCAUGAACGAGGAAUACCUUGUAAGCGCGGGUCAUCAUCCCGCGCUGAAUACGUCCCUGCCCUUUGUACACACCGCCCGUCGCUCCUACCGAUUGAGUGGUCCGGUGAGGCUUUGGGAUCUAAGCGAAAAGAGCGUUUCGCUCCUUUUGCUGGGAGAACUCAGUCGAACCUUAUCAUUUAGAGGAAGGAGAAGUCGUAACA
Molecule: ribosomal RNA, 322 nt
Filed under: uncultured eukaryote
Lineage: Eukaryota
Description: partial 18S ribosomal RNA
Rfam family: Eukaryotic small subunit ribosomal RNA
Source: RNAcentral